Long non-coding RNA from Columba livia (rock pigeon), 12365 nucleotides. RefSeq lists it as uncharacterized. The transcript is spliced from 3 exons. The record is from RefSeq and is a predicted model, not a curated record. Lineage: Eukaryota; Metazoa; Chordata; Aves; Columbiformes; Columbidae.
UUAGACUAAGGUCUACUGUGAGUGUUUUGCAUGAGGAAUGCAGCAGCACUUCUGGGAAGAUCCAUUCCACAGGAGAAUUCUAGGGCAAUGGGCACCAGGCCGUUAGUAUCAUCAUCUGUCUGAGAGAGGACAGACCACAGCCAUACAACUAGAAGUUACUGCUGGAAGAAACCAGUUUGUUGUCAUCACUAAAUAUUGUAUUAUGAAUGUUUCUUAAGUUCUGUCCUUACAGGUACAGUUCCUAAAAUCACAUGAAGUCUUCAGCUACUUUUUGUGGGCAAUAGGGAGUACCUGCUAGACUUGACAUAUUCAUGCUCUCCCACUGGAAGAGGUUGCUCCAAGAUAUGCUUGGGAACUAUGUAUGGAACCAUUGCUGGUUCAACACAAGGCCAUCAUGAACUUCACCCUCUUUUUAAGAGAAAAUGAAAACUGAAAUGAAAAAUGAGCUUCACCAUUUUUCUAAGAGCACAAGUGAUCUAUGAUGUUCAUUGACUUCUGAUUCAGUCUGCGAACAGCUGGAAUCCUACAGCCUGAAAAGCCGUCUUUGUUUCCCAGGUUUCCAUUACACAUUUUUGUACCACACUUGCAAGCUAUCCAGGCCUGUGAAGGAGGGACAAUACUUAUUUUUGUGAAAAAUGUUUGCCAUUUUCCAUUCUGCACUCUUCAGACCUCUCCUUGUCCAAUAAAUGGUAAGCUGUUAAAAACAUUCUUAUUUUUCCUUCUGCAACUAUAUUUUUAGUACAGAUACUGGGCCAAAGUUUGGUUUUGCACCAAAUUUAAUCUUGUCACACAGAAUUAAGUUCAGCAGGGUUUCUCUAGAUUUGUAUUGAGGCAUGACACAAAUUUACUUGUUCUUAAUCUCUCCCAUGGAAGCUGUGAAACAAAUAGGGCUUCUAUUAACCACAGUACCUGCUAAUAAUUUUAUUAGUAGCAUCGGUGAAGAGCGGUGUGUUCCUUUUUUUCCUUAUAUAUGUAAACAUAAAGUAUGUUUGGUAAAGAUUUAUAGACCUUACUCUGAAAUCUUUUCUUGAGCACAAUUCUCAUUCUGAUAUCUGAACUUCACAGAUGUUCCUCUAAUUUGGUAAGAUUAAACAUAUCAAAAACUGGUCUUUAUCAGCAUGCUGGGCAUGUUGUUAGUGUAUGAAUGGUUCUGUAAUUAAAAUGGUACAAGAUAACGUUUACUUUUGAGUAUUUGUCAGUAUUCUGAUCCUAAAUCAUUGGACUAAUAACAGUGUUUGGUCAAAGAUUGCCUUAUUUUGCCCAAGGUAACAGAAUUUCUUUCAACAGGUAGUACUUGGUUAGGGAAUCAUCAAGUAUAGAUAGAAAUGUCUAUAAAAUUGAGUGAUCCUCAAUUCCUAGAGUUAUAUAACAAUAUUUUCAAAUUUGGUACUAAUAUCGAAAGAUUGAGUUACAAUAUGUAGAUAUUCUUUGUCCUUGCAAUUGCACAUGCAUAGAAAAAAAGAGGGACCGUAGAAGGUUACUUAGUCUACCCUUUACCAAGAGCAGGAUGACAUACACUGUACCGGACUAUACUCUACUAUGCUAUGCUAUGCUAUGCUAUGCUAUGCUAUGCUAUGCUAUGCUAUGCCAUGCCAUGCUAUGCCAUGCUAUGCUAUGCUAUGCUAUGCUAUGCUAUGCCAUGCCAUGCUAUGCUAUGCUAUGCUAUGCUAUACUGUAUUAUACUAUGCUAUACUAUACUGUACUGUACUGUACUAUACUGUACUAUUUAGUGAUUCCUGACAGAAAAAAAUCCAACUUGAUAUUAAAAAUAUUCACUAAAAACUCUGUUGCUUUCCCAUGCCGUGUUUUCCAGGCUGAAAUAACUUGACACUUUGAAAAGUUUUCCUUUGCCUUCUCUGAAUCGUCAUCUUUUUUUCCUGUCACAGUGCACUAUGGAGAACAGCUUAUAUACCUCCUCUUUUCAACAACUUCUCACUUUUUGGAUAUUGUGCCUUCAAACCAGUUUUGAAUAAACAGACAAAAAGAUUGUUAUAAUCAAGGCAUUUUGACUGAAAUGCAGAGCAACCUGGAUUGAAAGAACUGCCUUUUGGCAGAAAGGGAGUUCGAAAGUAGUCAUACAAUUAGGGAUAUUGAUUAACUAAGGUAUGUAAUAUUUUUUUAAAUGACACCACCAGAAGGGAAAUGAGAAUAGCAUACACUAAUGGCCAAACUAGUUAAAAGACAACUUUUCUAGAUCUUCAAUCUAUUUCCACUGAGGCGUCCAGGUUAAAGACAAGGUCCUGAGUUUUUUUAUAAAUGUGAAACUAAUUUUUUUCAGUUUCAACUAAAUCCUCACCUUUCAAUGUAUGUACGCAAUCCCUUAAUAGAAGUGAUUGCUCAGGGAAUAAGUUUAAGCACAGAUUUUACAAGCAAAGCUGCUUCAUUACUGAUUGCUCAGGGAAUAAGUUUAAGCACAGAUUUUAAAAGCAAAGCUGCUUCAUUACUAUUAAGUGGCUAUGUCAUAUUAACAUCACAUUUGUCCUGCCCUUUCAGGUGUCUGAGAUGCCUCAUUUCAAAGUGACCUUUUCAAAAAUGUCUCUGUGUUAUCUUUUCCUAUGAAACAUUCUCUCUGAGUGUUUGCAUCGAUUUAAUUUCCUAAAAACUUCUCCUCUUAUUUCUAGGUGUUCUGUCCCCUCUGUUGCUUUACAUGGACAGUAUUUUUCUUGGUCAUAAAAAGAAAUGUGACAUCUCUGGAUUUUAUUUCAUUGCAGCCAAGACAAAAAGAGCACAGGAGCUCAAAUAAAUUAUAAUUCUGAAUAAUACUAGUUAUAAAGGAAUGCUAAAGCUUCUUGGUGACCACAUUUGUGAGCCAGAGCCAGAGAAGCAGAAACUAAUGUCUAGUAAAAGAUGUUAGAUUCUUGCUGCCAAUGUCUGGCGAGAAAAAUCUGCUCAAUAGAUGGUUUACCUCAAAUGACCCAGUUGGCACUUGGAGCAAGGAUGCCGAGUCAUUAGAAAGACAGUGCAGGUAAUUUAUCAGGAAAGCAUGUAGUACUUCCCAUACAUUCCAUUUCUUGCAUACUAUUGUUCUCAGGAUUUUAACACUAGGCAUUUAUCCAUAACAGUACUGUCAGGGGGUUAUAGGAACCUCAGUCUGCUUAAAAUAGUGAAAUAUUUGGGAUUUGAAUCAUUGCUGGCAGUGGAUUCUGGCCCAGUGAAUUCAAGAGAGCUUCUGCUCUUCUUCACUGACACUAUAUCUCUUUGACUUCAUUUUCAUAAGGGAAUAAAAUUGUGAAGUCCCUGUAUCUCUGUGAAAAAGGUCAACUUUUUUUUUUUCCCUUUGGCUUUCCCACUUCCAAAUAAGACACCUUUUUCCUGGUUUUCUCUCUUCUGAAAGUGAUUGAAUUCCACAGACUCUAGAGGGGAGUUCUUUAUGUCUCCCCAAAGUCACAGGUACCAGAGCAAGAAAGUGGUUUAAUUUGCUGCUCCAGUUGAGGCAUGUGAGUGUAACAAUAUUCCUUCAGCUAAAAAGGCCAGGGAAGGAUGCUAGCCCAGAUUUUGCAAUAACAAACAAGGCUGAUCAUUCUUGUGGUAGCCAGCCAAUGCACAAGUGACACUUGCAUUUUAGUGGAUGCCUCCAAAGAUGAUGUACUCACUGCCUGGUAAUUGUGCCUGCUACUUCCAGAGGCAAUGCUGAAUAUUGCCACCAAAGGACCAGACAGCAGGACUUACCUGCAGCUGGCUGCUUCUGGCCAUGGAGAAGAUCAAGAGAAGAGAGAGCUAGAAUACAGUUUCUUGCUCUGCCACUGUUGCCAUAGAAAACAUUUGGAUAGAAAUGGCAGUUUAGACAUACAUAAGCCUCAAAGCACAGCAUAAGCUGCAAGUGUGUGUCUUUCACUGACCAACACAGGCACACCAAGCAGUAGGUCCAUGGCUGCACUGUCAUCUCCCAACUCUUAACUGACCUAGGCAAUGGCCUAUGUAGCCUGUACCACAGCCAGCUCCUAAACUGAGCAAUCAAAGCCAUAUAUUGAGUUGUAUGGUGUUAUUUUAAGAGUCAGAACACAGGAUUUCUGUCAAAUACACAAAACAGAAAUUGCCACAUUUCAGCUCUUGUUCCAGAAAAUUAGGAGAUUGUAUGUUAGAUCUUGGUGGCCUAUUGGAGCUGUUAUUGCUCCACCCAGAAGAAGCCUUGAGUAGGUCCCCACAUGUACUGACUGUGACAGAAUGGCAUGAGAGCAAAUAUGGCCAGCAAGUUCAUCUGACUAGUGGCUAAUUGGUAGUAACAGGAGCUUGUAUCCCAGAACUGUGACACCAGCACCAAAGCGAUAUCUCUGAGAGUAUGCCUGAGAUGGUCUGAUAAAUUAGAGGUGGUAUUUUUUAAAUGUCAUUUCCCUCAGGCUGUAUAGAAACCAUUCCCUGCACAAUAAGCUCAGCACGUACACUGUCACAGCUUGGCAAACACAUGCUCCCAAAAAACAUCAGAAAACAAGCUAAGUUACAUCUUCACUACUCCAUCAGGCACUCCAUUACCUUGAUUCUAGUGUGGCCAAUCAGAUGCAAUUGGCUGUUUUUGUAAAGCCGAUACUAGAAUAUUUGUCUUGCCUUCCUUGACAAAAGAAGGAAAAUAAAGUGCAAGAAAAAUUCUUGGACCCUUGGUAAAGGAACAAGAGAAGCAGGUCGAAAUUUAUGCCUGCUUACCAUAGAAAGCCCAAAUAAUGUGAAUACCACCUGAAUUCCUUGAAUAGCAUUUAAUUAACAUUCCAAGACAGCUCUACAAAAUCAAGAGAUCAAAGUGAAGCAAGAAAAGCAUGCCCAAAAUGAAGCAGAACUCAAGUUUGACCAGUAAACACUGACUGGCAAAAUGUUAAUCAAGACCAAGUUGCUCAGUGCUUGCAUUGGGUAGCAGGUAACACUCAGGAGAUCAUUUCUCUACAAACCCCAAAAUGUGCACUGCUUUGGUAUCAGCAGCUUCUGUGGUGAUCAGGGAGGCUGGGCCAGUUCGCAUUAGGGCUGUCCAGCAUGUUUAGUCCAGCUGCCUGGAGACAAGCCAUUUGGAAAAAAAAAAAGAAGUUUUCAGUGCUGCUUGCAGUGUUCACGCCUGACAACAUUUCUGUCUGACUAUGCAACUCCCAGAUAGCAAAGACACAAUAUUCAGUUUAUAAACUCUGAUGAAUAAGCUGUCUCCUGGGGUUUGACAGGACUUACUAACUGCCUGAGAUCUGCUGUAUCUUCCUCUUCUUGGCCCAAACUCUCUGAUAUGGGAUGCCUGAAAGUUACACAACUAAAAGCCAUCUUUAACCACUUAAAAGUGCAGACUUGUUUUGGAGACUGAACACUGCAAUUGCAGCGGGAGCAUAUGGGAACAGUUGCUGUGAAAAUCAGGCCAUUCUUACAAAGGAGCACACAAGUCUGCGAAAAAAAGGCCAAUAAACUGAACAGUAUCACUGGUGAAUGACCCACCAGUGGCAUUCAGUCAAAAGAUUGGAGAUAGCCAUUUGGAUUUCAUUCAUUAAGGUUUGCAUGCAACUAUUUUUCCUGUCUGCUGUUUAAGGAACUUUAUGGAACAACAGUGAGAACUUUUUUUUUUCAGUUUGAGUUCUGUGCUUUGAGUGCAUUUUUUCUGAAGCAUGUGUUUGGCUAAUAGUUGCAGUUUCAUCUUAGCAGCCUCUUUGAUGACACGCGUUUUUGAAACAGAGGCUUGUGCUGAUUAAAUGAUGUUCCAGGGUUAAGUGGGCCCUCCAAGACAUAGCUAUGACUGCCUGUUGCUGGGGUCACUAAACUACUUCAGUGGUUUCGUUUUUGCUCCCUGAAUGACAAUCCUUCUGAUGUUUUUAGCCUUCAGCCACAUUCUUCUGCUUCCUAAGAGACUUUUCCUGACUUUACCAUGCAUGCAGAGGACAAGUGUUCUAACGAUGCAUUCCUGACUAGUUUUCUUUUUUUCAGAGGCAUUAUAAUUAACCAUAUCCAGGGGUUACAUGUUGGUCUACCUACCAACACACAGCAGCAAGUGAAUAUUGUUAGCCAAAUUUUUAGAAACCAGAGCAAUCUCCUAGUUUUCAGCCAUCUCUCAUGAAGAGAUGCAAAUGUCUCCAUUCAGCAUUUCAGAAUGCUUGCAAGAGAAGAGCAGUCCAGCUGCCUACUCGAAGUCUCCAAGGACUGGUGUUCAACUCACAGUUUAUCAAGGCCAUAUUCUUAUGUUUCUUGCUUUGUCAUUUGCUCUCUCAGUACUUCAGAUCCCUCUCUGUAUAAUGAAAAUACUACAGCCUCCCUCAUCUUACAGUCUAUUGGUUUAAGGAGUAACUUAGCAAGGACUGGGAGUCACUCUAAUAAUAUUGUUGGAAGUACCAUAAUUUUAUUCCUGUGUACAAACCUGUCUGUCUAUGCUUAUGUACCUCCCACUUUUAAGCAAGCUUGCUCCUAAGGAGUCAAAAGUGUCAUUCAGAACCAGAGGUUGUCUCUCUUCAAAGCUUGAAAGAAACCUCACUACUUGCCCUCCAGGUAUUUGUCUAUUGCUCUUCAAGUUCACCUUUCCGGUUGUGUUGGAUGAGAAUAAGAGCAGCUCCAUGUAAGUCUGAAGUCCUUGUCAUUGUCCCCUUUGUCACAGUGUGCAAGUACUUCAUAGUCCCUAGAAUAGCUACCCUUACUUCACUGCUGUAAAGUGAGCGACAGCUAGUACCCCUUUCACAGGUAACACUCCCUACCUUUUAUGAGGUGCUUUUUGGCAGCAGCUCUAGAGGAGCUCUUAAAGACAGUUUCCCUGUUUUUCAACAGAAACAAAGAAAAGAGUAUAGAUCAAGUGCAUAAUACCCUUUUUUUAUUUAGCUCUGAACUGAGAUUUAAAUAGAGUUUAGGUGCCAAGUCCAGGCAUGGAAUCGGACUUUGUUAAGAGCUCCCAUCCUCUAGCUUUGCCAAAAAAAGGUCUUCCAGGCACUAAACCUGUGUUUCUGGAUAUCUUCAGGGCAGUUUCUGAUUUGGCAAGGUUCAUCCACCCCUAGAUAUGCUGUUCAAGAGUUUAAUCUGAUGUCUCUGGUAAUUCCUACCCCAGCCUUCUGCUAUACUCUAGUUCAGGUGUUAUUUGUAAACCGGUCUUGGUAGAAUUUAUGUACUGCAGGUCAAGCCAAUUUGUAGUGUUAAUAAUACUACUGUAAGCACAUUAGCAGAUCUCCAGGGUUUACUCCUGAGCAGAUCAUCUAGUUUACCUGAAAUUCUUAAAAAACAUGUAUUUCUUCUACUUAUAGUUGAUGUCCAGACAUCAUUUUGGCUAAAGCAAAACAUCUGCAUCUCCUGAAGAUGUUUCCAAUAUCUUCUCAUCAGACAGGCAUUACUUCCUGCAGGGUAAAACCACUACUGAUUAUUUUGUCCUUAUGCAAGGGAACAAGUACUUACUGGGAACCAGAAACCACACCGUCUGCUUCAGAGAAGACAUAGGUAGAAUACAUCCAGAAAAGAAUGAGCAAACAGUUGUAGAAAUGGCAGGUUUUGAGAUCUAGGAGGCAUGGGACUUUGCCUCAGUGCUUCAGGAGUUGGAAAUGAGGGGUCAGAAAAUAAAUGGAGGCAUUGUAUUCCACUUUCCUAUAACAAGCAAUAAAUAAAUAUCUGAUACUCAGGUUACACUAUAUUUGUUAACUAUGAUGAUCCAUAAAUUACAGCUAUAAGUUUAAGACUCUGGCAGUUUGAAAUUAAUUCCAUUUAUUUAAAGAAUGAGUGGAAAAUAUUCUUAGUCCCAGCACCUGCUGUUGAAUUCCUCUGCUUUUCUGUGGUUUUACUAUUACAUUUUCCAAUUUUAAAAGAAGUGAAGCUGACUAGACACAAGACAUCGUCAAAUGUCCAAGGUAAAUAAACUGGGAAAAUAUUAAGAAAAUUAUAUAUAAUUUUCUGUAAUAGCAAAGGGAAUAUUGAGUGAACAAUAUUAAAUUAAGAAAGGAUUCUGACAAGAAAGGUAGAAGGUUGAAUGGUGUCCCUUUAAAACAAAUGUCCAAGCUGUCCACUGAAUCCUAAUGAGUGAAAUCUUUCUGUUGUUGCUUCUUAAUUUAUGUAGUAGAUUAACUAUACAUUUUUAAUGUGAAUCAGAUCUCUAGGUUCUGUACUUAUACUGCAAAAAUCACCUUUAUUUGCCCCAUAUGAGAGCUUGGUGCCAAGACCACCCAGUGACAUGGCUUUACUUUGAAGGAUGGAGGAAACUGUGUAGUCUUAAAUUCCCAUGCAAAUGCUGAUUCUCAAAUUCCUAACUUACAGAAUAGGAAGAUGGAAACUCAUAGUACAUUAUAACAAAAACACCCUCUGCACCAAGAAGAGAAAAAGUUCCCUUCUGGGGAGCUCUUAUCUUAAAGGCAGUUAUCACACAUCCACUACUUCCAGCCCAGGGCAUUGUGUAGGUGCUUCAGAAGCUGCAUCAUUGAAUCCAUUCUGCUGUUCUGGAAGGGAAAGACCUAAAAUGGGAAAGAAGGCCAGUACCAUGUUAAACUACUUAAGAGGUCAAACAAAAUCUGACCACAGCCAGCAAUGUUUGAAUUUUUCCUUUGGCUCAGAGUACAAACUGUAAAUCAUCCAGCAAAUGUGUACUCUACAAGGGGUCAGAGGAAAAAACAUCUGCCCAUACUGGGCAGCCACUUCAGUCCUCUCUUGUUGCCAAGUUCCUAAGAAGUGCCCAGAAGCACCUCGUUUGAUGUGCCAGGUUUCCUGCCUCUUCCUGGGCUGGUGGGUUCAUGUCCACUCCAGACCCUUGUGCAUUAAACCUGACAUGGAAAAUGCAUAAAGAAGGGGAAGAGCAUUCAUGAAGCAUUUCCUCAUCUUUCUCCUGACAAGGCUGCAGAUCUUAGUCCCAUCUUGAAGGGGGUUGUGGAAACCUUGAGAGGGAGAGAGAGCUCCUCACUCUUGCUGGUUUGCAUCCAGCCCACAGGCUUAAAAAUCAAGUAUGUCGCAGGCUUACCCUGAUGACAAUUUGUUGAUUUGCAAGAAAGGAGACAAGACUUUCACUUCAGUGGACAGCAUAAAAACAGCCCACUCCCUCUGUAUUCAGUCUCAGUAGAAACACCAGCAAAGCAGGAGGUGGUGAAAUCACCCUGAAAAACAAGGUGGGAUAAGAAAAGUGCAUGGCAUAGGGAGGGGUGGUUGCAUUAAUGUUACCUGACCUAUGUUUUGCCUGUGAAUAUACAUUAAAAUAGACACAUAAAUUUGUGUCUGUGUAUUUGUCAGUCUCCAAAGCUACUAAAAGUACAGCAUUUGUCAGUAACAAGGACAGACUUAACAAAAGCAGCUGGUCUGAGACAUGCUGAAAAGUCAUUUCAUAGAUGUGAGGAAAACUUUUUUUAACUUUCCUGUUACCUGUAGCUACUGCAUCUGGGGCUGAUUUCUGACAGGGUAAAGCAAACAAAUAUAAGGAAAACUCCAUGGUGCACUAAACAUGCAGAAGUUUACAGCUACCUGCACUCAAGACAUUUUUACUGUUUCUAUGUGGUCUGAGAUGGCAGUAAGCUGCAAAGAGAAGGAAAUUAUUUCUCAUUUUUCUCUGAAUAUGCUAUCUACCAACCUGACUUUACUGAGAAGAAUGUAGACUGGAGCCAGCUUGAGCGUUCGGCUAAUAUACCAGCUUCCUGCCUUCACCUUGUGCUUUUUUUUUCUUUCCUCUAGGCUUAGAGAAACUCAUCAUUCCGCUUAAAAAUGAAGAAGUCGUGACACCUAGCGGUGAAUUAAACACUGAUUUCUUCUAUUUCCUACAGAAUCCACACUUGUUUUCCACGGGCACAUUGUUCUCAGUCAGAUUGUAAUGUGAGAGGUGAGGGCAUCACCCUCAUGACUUUAGACAUCCAGGCAGCCCCUCGUUUCUUCUGCAGUCCUACGCCAUGUGUGUGUGUGGUGUUGCAUCAGGCUCCUGUGCCCCUGCACAGAAAGCUCCAUUCAUUAUGGCCCAGUGAGCAGCCCCUGGUCAUGCUCCUUAUUGAACAUGACAUUUUGAAUAGUCAUUUAUACUGAGAUAAGGUUAAGUGCUUUGACUUAGGAGCGAAAGGGAGUAUGGCAGAAUCCUGGUGUUUAAGACCAAGCAGGAAUUUCAGACUUUUUUCAUAUCGAGUACUUAUUCAUCAAGGCUGGUUUUGGAAGGUGACUCAAAAAUGCAUUGUAUGGCAUGCAGCAAAUUGCUGGCAGGCAGUUUAAACUGACUCAAUUGCUGGCAAGUUCUUUCGCUUUUGAAGACUACUCAGAGUCUGCCUUGGUCAGCAGCAGUCAAAAAGUACGUACUGGCUGCAAUGCCAUGACAAGAAGUUGUGCUGAAAAGCAGUAAACCAGUCUAGACAUGUGCAAAAAAAAAAGUUCUUUCCAAACAGUGGCAAGCCUUGGAGAUGUUUUGGUUUGAUGGGUUUUUUGUUUGGUUUGGUUUGUUUUUUAGGGAAGCAGAACAGUGUUGAGUUGUGCUAGUGGUAACUAGGCUGCAGUCACCAAGCGGCAAGCUUUCUUGGCUUGUUGAUCCAGCUGGGACAUGCCAUUUUUUAUCACAAGAAUGAGCUUCAGUGCAAGAAAUUUCAAGUCAAAACAUCACUGUAUGUUGUUUGGGAAUCUGGGUGCGUGCUUCUUUGUGUCUGUAAGAGCUGUUAGCAGUGCAGCCUCCCAGUUUCAUGUCCAUAUUUGUGCAUGGUAUAUUAAGCAUACUUUCCAUUGCCUUCAAUGAGACAAACUCCUUCCUCCACCUCUGUCUUUCAGAAGAGAUACAUAAUAAAAUUGCAUGUUGUAACCAAGAAAUGGAGACUAGAUUACUUGAAUAGACAUGAUUUUCUUAAUCUAAAUAUUUAUUUUACAUGUAUUAGUACCUGUAACUUCCCCAGUUUGCUUUCUUGGGUAUAAUUAACACUUCUACCACCAGAGCGUCUGGAUGUAAGGCAAGUGAACAUAAAAAUAUCAUUUCUGUCCAAAAUGUUCCAAUUUCCAUCCCUUGAAUCAUCACCAUGUGACCUAUUCUGUGCCAAUAUUAAUAACCAUUGCUCAUGGCUUUCAAACAACCCAAACUAUUUAAAAAUUAAUUCUGUUUACAGUACCUUCUAGAGGAAGUAUUUUGUAAGAGUGAAUAACUCAAGCUGACUAGUGGCUACCCACAAAAUAUGACUAUCCAGUAACAAAAUGAAUCAUGUAGAACGAGUUGGCAAGGAAUGGACAUAUUGUUGGAGAAGACAUAAAGUGGGGAUCAGAUACAGCAACUGAGAGUCCUAGGUUCACUUUCCACUGCACCAUACAUUUCCCAUACCGCUCUGACAUAGGCAGGCCUAACCGCAGUGGCAUAGGCAGCAACUAGCCCCAGUCAUGCCAAAUCACACAGUAGACUUUUUGACACUGGGCUGUAAGCUGUGGGCCUUAAGUGUCCUGCUCAGCUGUUACUCCUAGAAACACUUUGAGUCACGAGUUGGAGCCCAUAGGUGUGCUAGUUUAUGCUUUGUCUUUGUUCUUCCCCCUGUAAAAUGGAGAUGGCCACCCACUGAUGCAUGACAAAUUUGUCUGAAGUCCCUGGAAUGGGCCAAGGUAUUAGUAUUACUUCAGCUAGUAUUACUUCGACUAGUAUUACUUCAGUCUUCACUGGCAGGGAUGCCACUGCCAUUGCUGAAGAGAAACAAUACAAAAUGGAAAAGCAAUACUAAUUCUGGCAGCCCUAUAGCCUGAAAUAUGUAAUGUACUCCUGGACAGAACAAGUGCAACAUCUGGCAGAGCAGAAAGUUAGGUUAUACUAAAUCCUUGGGUGCCGCUUAUUCCAUUUGGUAUUUGCCGCUGUUGCUACAGACUCUAAGCAGCCCCAAAACAGCCACAAAUGGAAGUAAAUCUUUCUUCUAGCCUCUCUCUAGGAGAAAUAGCUUGACAGGUUUAUAAGGGAAGGGAAGUUGCAUACUACUUAGCAUAGCUCUGCUAGCCUGUGAGGCAAAGGCUUUGAAGUGCCAAAGAGAUGAUGUGACUUUGGAUUGUAGGUCCAGCAACAAUGUUUGAUCAUUCUCAUGCCAGGCAGGACUGUCUGCUACAGCCUGUGUUACAUGGCUACACCAGAACCUCUGCUUUCUCUUGCUCUUGCAUUUUCGUGAUUCCCCUACUGACAAGAUAGGACACAGCAAGAGCUGUGAGGUAUAAAGUAGCUGUCAAAGACGGCAGUGAGCAGUAAAUAUCUAGGCAAUAUUCACUCACAUAGAACUCUGAAUAUGCAGCUACGAUGUGCUUUUUAGGCUAGUCUCUGUAGUGAGUACAGAGGUGAAUCCCCAGCGCAUCAGACUCACUUGCAUGGCUAAGCCUGCAACCACAGAAUUGCACAAUGGUUAGGGUGAGAAGGGACCUCUGAAAAUCGUCUUGUCCAAACCCCCUGUUGAAAGCAGGCUCAACUAGAACAGAUUGCUCAGGACCGUACUCAGCUGGGUUCGAAUAUCUCCCAGAACAGAGACUCACAACCUCUCUUGGCAACU